GCUAUAAGCAACACCGCAUAAAGCUCUGAAACUUGCCGCAUUCAAAUUUAACGAAAUGUUUGUUAUUUUGUUGAAAAUCCGGCGGAAUUUUAAAGAAAUGUUUCUGAUAAAACGAAUUUUAAACUAAAUUGUGACACUGUGAGUUGAAAAAUUAGUAUUUGUUUAUCUGUGUUGUACUGUUAUCUGAGAUAGUGGACAAUAUUUUGAUUUGUGCUAAAACAGACUUUUCUGAUGUCCAGUUUGGAUUCUAAACAGAUAAGAUUUAAUAAUUUUUUAGGAAAAAUAAAGUACAUCAGUGCAUUUAUUGCCGCUACACAACUGUGAACAAGACAGACUUAACAAGACACAUCAGAAUUCAUACUGGGGAAAAACCUUUUCAAUGUGGCAAGUGUAACAAACGCUUCAGUAGAAAGACUUCCUUAAAAUCUCAUAUGAUUACUCACUAUAAGCAACAUCUCGUUUAAAUUUUGUCCUUCAAAAUGUUUGUUAUGUGUCUCAAUAACUUGUUAUGUUUCAAUAACUCAUUUUACUUGUUAUGGGUGCUUGAAAAAAUUUUGUUCAAAUUUCCAAGAUGUGUAGAAUGAAAAAAAAAAGAUUACCUUAAUUAGUAAACUUUUUCAUCUGAUGAUCAAAUUUUCAUUUACUGAUACUCAAUCGUAAUGGUUCAAGGACUUAACCCUGAAUAUGCCAAUUAAUUUGAGCUGACAAUAUUUUAAGUAAUGAAAUCAGACACAAAUACAUGUUUUCACUGAAUGAAACAUGGAUUUUUACAACAGAUUCAAAUUCUUAACCCUCAAAAUAUAGGGACAGCUAUAAUCUGGAAAUUAUGGUUUGAUCAAGAAAGAGGAGGGUCGAAAUUUUGACCUAUGGUGAUUUCCUUUUUUCUCAUUUUUCGUCUUUUUGUAAAAAAAUUUUUGAGCAUGACUAUUAAACUUGCUUACCUUAAGAUAAUUCAAUGAAAAAAAUAACUAUUUAUAAUAUUACCUAUUAGUUUUAAUAAUCAGCUAAAAAAUGUUAAAUUUUAAGGUAUACAAAUUUUUAUACUAUUUUAGCUUUCAAUGGCAAAUUUUAAAUUUGUCGAAAUUCUGUCCUUAAAUAAGAGGUAUGUCUUCUUUGAGGUGGUGAAUAAUGCAAAAAGAGAAAUAAUCAUUAAAGGGUCCAACUAUUUGAUCUCACUCUUGACCAAACUAUUUGAACUUGAUUACCAGAUUGUUGCUACUAUCAAGAUUCUGAAUCUGUUGAAGAGAUGUAUAUUUAUUCUAAGAAAGAGUGUUUUGACUUUGUAAGUUCAAAAUUGUAUGCCAAUUUAAUAAGCAUAUUUAAGGUAGGCCAUGAAGCUGUUAAGAUUGAGUCCUAGUUUUUUGGUUCUUGCUUUUUUUUUUUUCCAUUUAUUUUAAGAACACUGUAAAUUUGUAGCACUUUUUGUGAUUGCUUUUGUUAUUAAAUUAGUUGUGACUUACUUCAUUUUUGAAGAAACUAAAGCUAAAUCAAAAUAUUAGAAUAAAAACAUAAUUUUUGUGCUGAAAGUUUGACCCUCCACUUGUUACGGCCCUGAGGAAAAUUCGCCUCAAUCAUCCUGUGAGAACCGUUGAAUUGAAGAACCUCAAUGAAUUGAAUCAUGAAGGUCAGCCUCAUUGAAGUAAGAAAAAUUCUAUGACUUAGGCAGGAUAGCUGUGCUAGCAAUAUUCCAAUUUUGAAGGGGAAAAUUAAAAAUACUAUAACCCGUUUCAUUGCCAAAGAAAACUGAAAGGUUAAAGCCAAAAAUUAGAAACACUAGUGUUAUCAGGCAAUUAAACUGAUCUUGGUAUUUUAAUCCUAGUUUUCUAUUACUGAUUUUUAUUACAGUUUUUUUUCUGAUUCAAUUAUUAUUUUGGUACCUGUAGUGUGUAUAUUUUUUUACUUUACUUUUGAGAAAUGCUGUAAAAAUGAUUUUUAAGGGCAGUCAUUAUGGCACACACUGUAUUUCUAUUUGGUAACUAAUUAUGUUAAAGGAUUAAUUUAAGGAAUAAAAUUGAUUGUAAGUUUUAAAUAAUUUUUAAUUCUUAUUACGCCUUGUUUAAAAAAAUUAUUUUAUUUCUUUAUUUUUAUUUAUCUAUAAUACAAUUUAAGACACAAAUACAAAAGCAAUAAAAACCGAAAAAAAAGUAUUAGCUAUAAAAUAGAUCUUCUGCUUCCCUGAUACUUUUAGUUUUCUUAUGAGGUAAUAACUAAUUUUAUUUCAUCUUAAAAUAUUUUUUUCAUAUCUAUGAACUUUGUUUGAGAAGAGGAAUGUGACAAACUUGGCAACAAAUCAUUAAAGAUUUAAUUCAUCGAAUAAUUUACUUUAUAAUAUGCUUGAAAAUUU
This is a non-coding RNA of Parasteatoda tepidariorum (common house spider), 2344 nucleotides long. The record is from RefSeq and is a predicted model, not a curated record. NCBI's taxonomy places the organism in Eukaryota, Metazoa, Arthropoda, Arachnida, Araneae, Theridiidae.